This 497-nucleotide ribosomal RNA is filed under the name uncultured bacterium. RNAcentral describes it as "partial 16S ribosomal RNA". It matches the Rfam family "Bacterial small subunit ribosomal RNA", at positions 28 to 507 of the family's 1533-position model. The record is from RNAcentral.
GAUGAACGCUGGCGGCGUGCCUAAUACAUGCAAGUCGAGCGAACAGACGAGGAGCUUGCUCCUCUGACGUUAGCGGCGGACGGGUGAGUAACACGUGGAUAACCUACCUAUAAGACUGGGAUAACUUCGGGAAACCGGAGCUAAUACCGGAUAAUAUAUUGAACCGCAUGGUUCAAUAGUGAAAGACGGUUUUGCUGUCACUUAUAGAUGGAUCCGCGCCGCAUUAGCUAGUUGGUAAGGUAACGGCUUACCAAGGCAACGAUGCGUAGCCGACCUGAGAGGGUGAUCGGCCACACUGGAACUGAGACACGGUCCAGACGCCUACGGGAAGCAGCAGUAGGGAAUCUUCCGCAAUGGGCGAAAGCCUGACGGAGCAACGCCGCGUGAGUGAUGAAGGUCUUCGGAUCGUAAAACUCUGUUAUUAGGGAAGAACAAAUGUGUAAGUAACUAUGCACGUCUUGACGGUACCUAAUCAGAAAGCCACGGCUAACUACGUG